CCAGGAACGUUAGCGGCGCGCUUAACACAUGCAAGUCGUACGAGAAAGUCUCCUUCGGGGGGCGAGUAAAGUGGCGCACGGGUGAGUAACACCCGGGUAUCUACCUUUUGGCGGGGGACAACAUCUUGAAAAGGGUGCUAAUACCGCAUAAGUCCACUUCGGUGGGGAAAGAUGGCCUCUCCUUGGAAGCUAUCACCAAAAGAUGAGCCUGCGUCCCAUCAGCUAGUUGGCAGGGUAAAAGCCUACCAAGGCAACGACGGGUAGCUGGUCUGAGAGGAUGAUCAGUCACACUGGAACUGAGACACGGUCCAGACUCCUACGGGAGGCAGCAGUGGGGAAUAUUGCGCAAUGGGCGAAAGCCUGACGCAGCGACGCCGCGNGGGUGAUGAAGGUCCUCGGAUGCUUAAAGCCCUGUGGGAGAGGGAAGAUUC
Molecule: ribosomal RNA, 431 nt
Filed under: uncultured bacterium
Lineage: Bacteria
Description: bacterial SSU rRNA
Rfam family: Bacterial small subunit ribosomal RNA
Source: RNAcentral